AUUGAACGCUGGCGGCAGGCCUAACACAUGCAAGUCGAACGGUAACAGGAAGCAGCUUGCUGCUUUGCUGACGAGUGGCGGACGGGUGAGUAAUGUCUGGGAAACUGCCUGAUGGAGGGGGAUAACUACUGGAAACGGUAGCUACUACCGCAUAACGUCGCAAGACCAAAGAGGGGGACCUUAGGGCCUCUUGCCAGCGGAUGUGCCCAGAUGGGAUUAGCUAGUAGGUGGGGUAACGGCUCACCUAGGCGACGAUCCCUAGCUGGUCUGAGAGGAUGACCAGCCACACUGGAACUGGGACACGGUCCAGAGUCCUACGGGAGGCAGCAGUGGGGAAUAUUGCACAAUGGGCGCAAGCCUGAUGCAGCCAUGCCGCGUGUAUGAAGAAGGCCUUCGGGUUGUAAAGUACUUUCAGCGGGGAGGAAGGGAGUAAAGUUAAUACCUUUGCUGAUUGACGUUACCCGCAGAAGAAGCACCGGCUAACUACGUG
This 490-nucleotide ribosomal RNA is filed under the name uncultured bacterium. RNAcentral describes it as "partial 16S ribosomal RNA". It matches the Rfam family "Bacterial small subunit ribosomal RNA", at positions 30 to 507 of the family's 1533-position model. The record is from RNAcentral.